Molecule: ribosomal RNA, 433 nt
Filed under: uncultured bacterium
Lineage: Bacteria
Description: partial 16S ribosomal RNA
Rfam family: Bacterial small subunit ribosomal RNA
Source: RNAcentral
AACGAACGCUGGCGGCAUGCCUAACACAUGCAGGUCGAACGAGACCUUCGGGUCUAGUGGCGCACGGGUGCGUAACGCGUGGGAACCUGCCCUUAGGUUCGGAAUAACUCCCCGAAAGGGGUGCUAAUACCGGAUAAUGUCUUCGGACCAAAGAUUUAUCGCCUUUGGAUGGGCCCGCGUUGGAUUAGCUAGUUGGUAGGGUAAAAGCCUACCAAGGCGACGAUCCAUAGCUGGUCUGAGAGGAUGAUCAGCCACACUGGGACUGAGACACGGCCCAGAAUCCUACGGGAGGCAGCAGUGGGGAAUAUUGGACGAUGGGCGAAAGCCUGAUCCAGCAAUGCCGCGUGAGUGAUGAAGGCCUUAGGGUUGUAAAGCUCUUUUACCCGGGAUGAUAAUGACAGUACCGGGAGAAUAAGCUCCGGCUAACUACGUG